UGAUUUGCAAGGUCCUUAUAACUCGGGGGAGUUUAGUCCAGAUUUGUUGGACAUACCUCAUCCAGAUGGCAAAUGAGAGACGGGUUCGGACUCAGGCUGCCAGCUCUGCCUCAGACAAAGCUGAUGGAGUUAUGGAGGUUACCUGUCUUCUGCUGCUCCGCUGCUGAUGGAUCGUCUCAGUUGCCAUAGAGACAAGAUCUGGAAGCCAUGGACAGGCACAGCGGAGGAGCUGCCGGUGGGCUCUCCGCCAGUGGGCUCUGGCAAGGCGCUCCUCAGCAGGUAUUAACAGAGGCAGGAUCAAUCUCCGAAGGUGAGGAAGAGUCACACACACAUUACAUUGCCAUUCAGAGGAAUUCCAGGUACUACCGGUCCAUGAGGCUGCGGAGCACAGAGAAAAGAAAGACUACGAGAGAGGCAAUGACUGUGGGGCGUGUUGCAGGUUCACUCAAAAAUGAUGAGCCCGUCAAAGAGCCUCUGGCUAAGGAGGUUUUAUCUCAGAAGGGAUCGGCACCUCCAGUAAACGCUGAUAUGAGAGCUUUAGAAGAACUAUGGAUCCAAAGGUAAGGAGGCACCUGCUCAGGGUAUUCACUAUGCCUCUGCUGAAGAAUAUAGGUAGAGUGGCAUCAGAGCAAGAAAGCUUGUUUUUUUUUUUGAAGAACAGCUGGACUAAGCUAUAGCUAUUGAUCUACGCCUUCUCACCCAGACUUGUAGUGCUAUUGUCAAUUUUAUUUUAAUGCUGUAUAUCAUAUAAUACUAGAACUGUGGUAUAAAAGGCCCUGUAUAAGGUUGGAGAAGAAAGAGAAGGAGAAGCAGGGGAGAAACAAAAAGACAGCGGGAAGACUGAAAAGAGGGGAAAUGUGACGCAGAAUCACCCAGUGGGGUAAGCAAAGACACUCUGCUGAGUGCCUCAAGCAGCUUAUUGAGAAAAUAAAGUCUGCAAGCACUUCCUUAGGCAACACCCUACUAUAAGGCCCAUUCUCAGCCUUCAGGGAGGGCUCUCCUGAAACGUUUUACAGGCCUGCACACAGAAAACAGCAUUUUACAUCUGAAGAAGUAGCUACAAAGAUGUUUUCUAAAGCAUUUUUGCUUUCUGUUUGCUGUUAACGUUCAAGAACUGAUAGGCAACAAAGGCCUUCAGUGUGGCUGUCUUUUUUGGCAGAAAUCCCUCAACGGCCUAGGUUCAGCAAAAGGCCCUGAUCCCAUAACCAGGAUACUGCAGGGGAAGGGGAGGGUGGCAGACUCCGUACCAGAGGUGAACUGCUGCUUUGAGAGGGCGCAGGCACAACUGACAAAUACAGGCAAGGCUUCCGUAUAGAGUGGAAAUCCCAGUUGCCCUCUCUCAGAUGCGUUACAUCUAGGGAGCCAGGCUGCUCUCAGUACACGGACAAGAAAUUUAUCUGGACCCCCGUGCUCUCCUGCCACUGCAGCCACGCGGAGAGAGGAGAAGCUGCCUAGCCGUGCAUUUUCUCAUGUAGGCAUUCCCCCAAGCUCCCCCUCAUCUCUUGUAUGUAAAACUGUGAGAUAGUCCCUGUUUCUUCUGUAGAAGAUCAAGCUGAAAGCGUUAAAUACUUGCCCUCUAAAGGUGCGUGUAUUAUACUGCAUUGCGUGGUCCUAAUUACUGAGUGCAGCUAGUGCCUUUCCAGGCACCUUCCCUUAUGAAGAGGACUCCAACAGAGAAUUUUAGCCAAUCUGUCAAGUCAGAUUUAAAUAAAUUAAUUGUCCUGGCUGAAAUUGAUUGCCCUUUGGCAUUAAACUGAGCAUAUGAAACUAGACAGCUACAGUCUGCUGAGAUGUCAAACCCAUCUGUCUUCCUCUCCUUGCGGCAUAAUCAUCUCUGUCAGACUCUGACAUCCUGACACUGCCACUUAGCCAGCUCUGAAACGUGCAAAUUCUGAUUCUCCCUGGAGCUGGAAACAAUGAGCCUGCGCUGGGAGCCAGUUUUAUCAAACAUGCUGCUGUGCACGGAGCUUGACAGGUCAGUACAGGUUGCAAGUCAUGUGUCUGCUAAAAGCAGGCAGUGCUGCUGAGUGGCAUCGUCUCUUGCAACUGAGCAAAGAAAUUAGACAUGGAACGAGACCAGAGUUUUAGCUCAAACUGAGCCCAUAUCCUCCUCUUCCUUUCUCCAAAAGACCAGCAGUAACUUAUAGGAGAACCACUAGAAAUUUGCAUUGUGAAAAGCCUGCAGGAGCCUAAGGGUAUUGCUAUUACUUCCAAUAAUCACUAUUCUCCCCAUUUUGCAGUGGAAAACGGGCCAUUGCACAGAUAAGACAUCUAAAAUAUUAUCCCUGGUCUCAAGAAAUGCAUUUAAUCUCUGUCCAAAAAAAAAAAAAAAAAGCUACCUGGCAGCUAGGAGAUCUUCUGAAGAAGGGAAAGUACAGGCACCUGUGGACAGUGCUGGGGAAGGUCCACGGGUCUCUCAAGAGAGGAUCGCCACAGCCCUGAGGCAGGCAGGGCGCUGCAACUCUUUUCGUUCAACAGUGUUUCGUUCAGCAGCUGUACAAAUGCUAAGGCUGGGCCUGCACGAUCCCUUCUCCUCACAUGAAAAUAGCCAGUAGGUCUGACAAGAACGUGUUGUUUGCAAGCAGAGAUGUCAUUUCACAUCAUAUACACAUGCUACGUAAUUUAGGACAGGAAGGAAAGAGGGCAGGAGGAAAUAGCAAACAGCUCAGUAGAAAGAACGUUUGUCUGAAUUGCACUCAGAUGGGAUACGGGCUUUAGCACUCUGAUCAGGGAAAAGCACCACAGGCUUCCUCAAACCCAGCAGUGACUUAGCUCUACGUCUCAUCCAAAGCUCUGUGAAUGUUCUAUAAAACUAAGUAAAAAUGAGAUAAGUAGAGUAGUUCACACUGACUUCUGAAAACUGUACCCUGCGGUUUUUCAGAUUACUUCAAAUGAAAUUGCUGGUGUUACAGAGCAGUGUCUAUUUUCCAGGGGGUCAAGCAUAAGAGUCUAAGAACUACCUCAAUAGACAACAGAGGCUCUAAGGCACAGAAGAGCCAAAAUCUGCCACAUACUCUCCGCAAGAUACUUCCUAAGAGCACCUCUAUGCCUAACUAUUCUCAAACGAGUUUUUUCCCCGUGACCUUUCCUAUGCUGUGCCCGGCUCCCCCGAGCACUCUAGUAUCAAAGUUCCCCACAAGACCCCUUGGCUCCCUCCCAGUUUUCCACAUUGUACAAAGAUACAAACCCCUCACGUGAUGAGACCCUUCCUGACAACUCAGCUGACUUGCCCUGAACAUUUCAGAGCUGAGCUUCCAGCACAACUUCUGGUUUUCAGAGUAACCAGAACCAAAGACCUGGAAGAAGCUGAGCUCAACAAAAGCUCUUUCCCGCAGUGAUCAGUCCGUCCAACUUGAUAGCGGCAGGAACAGUGCAGAUUGAGAUCACAGAAAACCAUCAGAGAAAAACAUCCACCUAGGGUUUCCAUCCACAACUGUCAGCCCCAGCUGAAAGCGGCUCCCACAGAGAUCAGCAAAUUAGUCAUUUUAAACCCUAGGAAGGAGAUUCACCAAUCGUUAUCUACCCUCUGUUAUCAGCAAAUAGGAUGUUGACGUCUCUUCAUAUCUAAUUCAAUACAGAUGCUUUUACAGCAUGACUGUAUUAUUUACCUAUCAUUUCCCACGGAGGCAGAUUUGAGAAGUGAUACGUAUUCAUUAUGGGCCACUAGAUACAGUGGAAAAGAAAGUCAGUGUGAAAUUUCAUGUUGCAGAGCUCACUUCAAGGUCAUUGGUCUAACAGUACAGAACAAUUUAUUUCUCUAGGCUGGUUAUGAAACCUCCAGUUCAGAGAAAUGAAGAUCACCUGAAAUCAGUUGAUUAUGUUUGAUCUGAGCUAAUAGAACAGAACUGCUACAACAGUGAAUGCAAACAGUUGCCUCCAAGCGAAAGAGGGAAUCUGAUUUGUUUGAAUUCAUACAAACACCGAUACUAGAGACACUAGUCAUGGAAAAAUAGCGUAACUGGAGGAUGUUGGCAUGAAUUUGGGUUAGCUUCCCACAGUGCAGCACUAUUUGUCCUGGGCAGCAGAGGGCACUGCUUAUAUACGCUGAUUCAACCAGAAAAGCAGAGAAAGCCUCUACAGAGGCCGAGAUCUGUAUUGCAAGAGGUCUUAUACCAUACGCAAUCAGUUUCUUUCUACUUAUGGAAUACAUUUCUUAUUGUCACCUGUUCUCUGUGCUGCCAAUGGUGCUUCCGCUUGCAAGUGGCGAAGUCAUGCAGAGCUGGUGCAAAUACAUGUUGAUCAAACCUUUCACUCCAUAAUAAUUUAUUCCUCUUUUAGAGAUAGAUAAAUAAUUCUUUUUUAUAUCCCUCUUUUUGUACCAUCUGCCUCAUUCAGAUAUACCCUGACCAUACCCAGGUCCUCAACCAAUCUGUUUCCUCAGCUUGUACUUCCCCCACUCUUGUUUCCUCAGCCUUACCA
Struthio camelus australis is the source of this 4419-nucleotide non-coding RNA. NCBI's taxonomy places the organism in Eukaryota, Metazoa, Chordata, Aves, Struthioniformes, Struthionidae. The record is from RefSeq and is a predicted model, not a curated record.